AAAAAUUUAGUUAAAAAAUAACAUUAGUUUGUCAAACUAAAAUUAUCAACUUGAUAAUUUUUA
Molecule: transfer RNA, 63 nt
Filed under: Galerucella birmanica (water lily leaf beetle)
Lineage: Eukaryota; Metazoa; Arthropoda; Insecta; Coleoptera; Chrysomelidae
Description: tRNA-Asp
Source: RNAcentral